Molecule: long non-coding RNA, 549 nt
Organism: Panicum virgatum (switchgrass)
Lineage: Eukaryota; Viridiplantae; Streptophyta; Magnoliopsida; Poales; Poaceae
Exons: 2
Source: RefSeq, a predicted model, not a curated record
AUGGCUGCGCUGCGCUGGAGCGGAGGCGGCGGAGCGGAGAGGAGAGAAGCGGGACCUUUGCUGCCAACUCCGUUUGGGUUUACGCCGCGGCUCCUAACCGAAUCGUCCCCAUUUUCAUUUUCGCCUACCGCGAUUUCCAGAAACAGGCAUAGAUCACAUUGCAUGCGGAUCAAUUUUUAUGCGUGUUUACAAUUACAGGUCUCGUUAGAGUGUGCAAAACCUCAUCUCUGAACACGUACUCAACUCUUGGUGGAAGUGCACACCGCAGGCAACGGUGCAGAGGCUGAAACCAAACAUCAGAGACCAAGGAUUUUCUUGCAAAUCAUAUUCAGUAUUCAAACGAGACGAAUCACAACGUUCCAACACCUGACAACAUUGCAGUGUGUAUGUACAUUUCCUUUUUUCCAAUAAAUAAAGAUCAUUUAUGUACACAAGGUGAGGUUGCAGAGUAGAGUUAGUUCCUGUACAAUGAGUGGCAUCUUCUACAGGAGGAAUAAAUUACAUGUCACGAUGCUGGUCCACAUUGACUGCGCGGCUGCAUUGACGUUC